RNAcentral lists this ribosomal RNA (227 nucleotides) under Pichia kudriavzevii. RNAcentral describes it as "partial 26S ribosomal RNA". It matches the Rfam family "Eukaryotic large subunit ribosomal RNA", at positions 73 to 306 of the family's 3401-position model. The record is from RNAcentral. Lineage: Eukaryota; Fungi; Ascomycota; Pichiomycetes; Pichiales; Pichiaceae.
AUGCCUCAUUAGCGGCGAGUGAAGCGGCAGAGCUCAGAUUUGAAAUCGUGCUUUGCGGCACGAGUUGUAGAUUGCAGGUUGGAGUCUGUGUGGAAGGCGGUGUCCAAGUCCCUUGGAACAGGGCGCCCAGGAGGGUGAGAGCCCCGUGGGAUGCCGGCGGAAGCAGUGAGGCCCUUCUGACGAGUCGAGUUGUUUGGGAAUGCAGCUCCAAGCGGGUGAGUAAAAUU